RNAcentral lists this ribosomal RNA (467 nucleotides) under uncultured Glomus. Its description in RNAcentral is "SSU rRNA". It matches the Rfam family "Eukaryotic small subunit ribosomal RNA", at positions 627 to 1092 of the family's 1831-position model. The record is from RNAcentral. Lineage: Eukaryota; Fungi; Glomeromycota; Glomeromycetes; Glomerales; Glomeraceae.
CUCGUAGUUGAAUUUCGGGGUCAGUAGAUUGGUCGUGCCACUGGUAUGCACUGGUCUUACUGGCUCCUCCUUCCUGAUGAACCGUAAUGCCAUUAAUUUGGUGUUGCGGGGAAUUUGGACUGUUACUUUGAAAAAUUAGAGUGUUUAAAGCAAGCUAACGCUUGAAUACAUUAGCAUGGAAUAAUGAAAUAGGACGUUCGAUCCUAUUUUAGUUGGUUUCUAGGGAUUGACGUAAUGAUUAAUAGGGAUAGUUGGGGGCAUUAGUAUUCAAUUGUCAGAGGUGAAAUUCUUGGAUUUAUUGAAGACUAACUACUGCGAAAGCAUUUGCCAAGGAUGUUUUCAUUAAUCAAGAACGAAAGUUAGGGGGAUCGAAGACGAUCAGAUACCGUCGUAGUCUUAACCAUAAACUAUGCCGACUAGGGGAUCGGAUGAUGUUAAUUUUUUAAUGACUCAUUCGGCGCCUUACG